CUAAUCAAAUCUUCAGAAGCCUCUACCCUUCCUAAGUAGAAACUUUCAGGUGAUACGGGCAUAUUUUCUUGCGCUUCCUGUUCUUGAUCACUAAGUUUUACUAAUAGGUCCCUUUUUGCUGAUCUGUUCUGGACUCUGCUGCUUACUUCAGCUUCCAGUUUUGCAGCUAUGACAGUGGCUCGACUAAUACAGGACGGAGGUAGCUGCAAUGAGAUGGUGCACAAUCAACUUAAACAAAAAGAGCCAACUUCAUAAAAAAGGUGAACAAUACAUCUCAAUUAUGAAACUCUAUCUCAAAGAUCCAAAAAGUUAAAGAUUCCCUAAUUGGCCAGAUUAAUUAUGAAACCUGAAUUCUGGAGCCCAAUUGACAAGCUAUGUCAACAAAGGGAAUUUUCUCUCUCCUAUUAUCCCCUUUCCUUUCCUUUCAGGCAAAACACUAUGAAUUUCCCUCUCUGUGUUUUGCAUCACGUAACUUAAUAGAAACUCAGUUUAUUGCAAGCUUGUUUUCUUCCAGAAUAUAUAAUCACUUAGACCAACAAAAGGCUGGAGAGAGUCUGAGAAUUACCUGUGCAAGCUGAGCAACCUUAAACCCGAAACUACUCUCUGAGACACCUGGCACAACCUUAUAAAGAUAGGUGACAUCUUGAUCAGAUUUUGAGUCCAUUGGGCCCAUAACCUUGUGUGAGGUCAAAUAUGAAACGUGGUAUGUCCCCACAGAGCCAGUAAACUUGGUCUUUAUGUCAGCAAUCUUAGGGUAGUGAGUAACAAAUAGAACCAUGCAUUUUUUAUGCUCUAGAAGAUAAUCCAAUGUGGCAUAAGCAAUCGCUACUCCAUCAUGUGUACUUGUGCCUCUUCCAAGUUCAUCAACAAUAACCAGUGACUGAGCUGUGCAAUUGCGGAGUAUAUAAGAAGCCUCAUUUAGUUCCUCUAGAAAGGUGCUUCUCCCUUGUUGGAUACUAUCAGAAGCACCCAUCCGAGUGUAGAUGCCAUCCAGCACAUGCAGUUCCGCUGAUGAUGCUGGUACAAAGGAACCAACCUAGAGGUAUCAGAAAGUAUCAAUAAAGCAAUGACCAGAAGGCACUGAUUUUAUUAAUGAGAAGAAAUAAAGAACCAUCAUUAGUAGGAGAAGACAAUUGGUACAAAAUUCAUCUGUUUCAGUGCACAACUAAAAAUCAUGCACAAGUGUACUCAGAAUAAUGUACCAAUCAAUAACACCAGAAGAACGAAAAACUGGCUUAGCAUUAGAAAAACCAAAAAUCAACCAACUCAGCAUUGUCACGAAGUAUGGAGCAUAUAAGAGAGCCAAUGAACAAGAAUACAACCUCAACACCAGGUUUAGGAGUGGAAGAGAGAGAGAAAGCCAAGAACUGACUGAAGUGAAAUAAUAUCCUAGAAAAUGAAUAUGACCAACAACUGAGUGAGUGAAAUAGAACCAAGAACUAACUGAGGUUAAAUAACAUCCCAGAAGAUGAAUAUGACCAACAACUGACUGAGUGAAAUAAGAUCCUAGAAGAUAAACAUGAACAACAAUUUGAAUGAACUCUGAAGUGAAAUGAUAUCCUAGAAGAUGCAGUCUUAUCAUUUAGCAUAAUGAGGAAAGCAAUGAACCAGUUAUUUUCACAUUGACCCAUUAUAAUAAAUACUACUUACUAUCCUACUAGAUAUCUUCAAAAGGUAACAUCUUUAGAUGCACAGUAUGGCAUUCAUGAGCUUAUGGCCUCAUAUUCACCGCAUAAAACAAACAUAUGUUUAAAAUAGCUAUUCAACUACCUGAGCCAUAAUACCAAUGAGAGCAACUUGACGAAUAUAGCAACUCUUUCCACCCAUGUUAGGUCCAGUAAUAAUCUGACAAUACUCUCUCUCAGCGUGCAAGUUUGUAUCGUUCGGGACAAAAUUAUCUAGUAAUAUGGUGUCCAGGACCUGGUCAAAACUAGUAAACAUUAAUUUACAAAAAAAAAAAUGCAAAAAAUGAACACCUUAGCAACGAACAAACCUGAGGAGAACGCUAAGUAAAAGCAAUAAUGAACUUAGUACUUGUAUUACUCAACCAUAUAAUAAGAGCAACUCAGAACAACCAGAGGCAACUAAUGAACUACCAAACAAACGAAACUGAUACAACUACUAGAGCCCGCAUCACAGGAAGGAAGAAAAACAUAAUCUUAUUUACAUCACUCUAUACUCUUUGCACACCAAAUUUUUUUUUUUGAAAGAAUCUGCAAUAUCUAUGAUAAUGAUGAAAAACUUCCAAAUCUUUCUUCUCACAAGUGCAUAAAAUUAUAGCACAAGGGAAAAAUAUUCUUCUCUAAUCCAUUCUUUCUCACACCCAGAAACCAGGGAACAACCAAAGGAGCAGAUGAGCCCCUGCUGGGCUUUCCAUAUAUGAAAAUUGUGUACAAGGAACAAUAAAGAUGGAUGACAGGUUAGGAACUUGAUUAAUUGUAUACUUUUACUAAUAUAUAUUGAAAUCAAUACUUUUUGUCCAUACACUCCCUCAAAAUGCUGUAAGUAAUGAGUGUAGUUAAAUCUGG
Molecule: long non-coding RNA, 2528 nt
Filed under: Citrus sinensis (sweet orange)
Lineage: Eukaryota; Viridiplantae; Streptophyta; Magnoliopsida; Sapindales; Rutaceae
Description: long non-coding RNA (CSIN_LNC003993)
Source: RNAcentral